UAUUAUAUGCCCAGUAAUCGGUAUCCCUGGUGUUCCUUCCUUCUGCUCCCUAUUAUGACUUUUUGUCCCCUGUGGAGUCAGAUUUCCUGAGUCGAAAUAUACCUUUUUAGGUCUUCCUCGAAUGUUUUUGGAUGUUUGAUAUCUAUCACCCUCAUACCAGUCUUAGAUGUUCAUUCUCCUCGAGCGUGUUGUUCUAUCACCCUCAUACCGAUGUUUUGAUCACAUGUCUCCUUGAGCUUAUUACCCAGUAACCGGUAAUACCUCAUCCUGUUGUUUCCUCUGAUGAGUCAUGUUUGGACAUUUCCCAGUGAAGUCCCUUAGUGGAUGUUCCGCAUUUGAGUCCGGAUUUU
This 350-nucleotide long non-coding RNA is filed under the name Lathyrus oleraceus (garden pea). RNAcentral's name for it is "Pisum sativum (pea) long non-coding RNA (PSAT_LNC033011)". The record is from RNAcentral. Lineage: Eukaryota; Viridiplantae; Streptophyta; Magnoliopsida; Fabales; Fabaceae.